Molecule: RNA transcript, 1970 nt
Organism: Manis javanica (Malayan pangolin)
Lineage: Eukaryota; Metazoa; Chordata; Mammalia; Pholidota; Manidae
Gene: ISL2
Gene name: ISL LIM homeobox 2
Source: RefSeq, a predicted model, not a curated record
ACGGGGCAGGAGGAGUUAGUUAGCAAAGAGCUGGGGCUGGGCGCGCGACCCUCGUCCUUCUGCCCCUGACCGCACACUUUGCACACAUCUCUUUUCUGCAUGGUGGAUAUUAUUUUUCAUUAUCCUUUUCUGGGUGCUAUGGGGGAUCAUUCCAAGAAGAAGCCCGGGACGGCCAUGUGCGUGGGCUGCGGCAGUCAGAUCCACGACCAGUUCAUCCUCCGGGUGUCCCCCGACCUCGAGUGGCACGCCGCCUGCCUCAAGUGCGCCGAGUGCAGCCAGUACCUGGACGAGACGUGCACGUGCUUCGUGAGAGACGGGAAGACCUACUGCAAGCGGGACUAUGUCAGGCUGUUCGGCAUCAAGUGCGCCAAGUGCCAGGUGGGCUUCAGCAGCAGCGAUCUGGUGAUGCGGGCGCGGGACACCGUGUACCACAUCGAGUGCUUCCGCUGCUCCGUGUGCAGCCGCCAGCUGCUGCCCGGGGAUGAGUUCUCGCUGCGGGAGCACGAGCUGCUCUGCCGCGCAGACCAUGGCCUCCUGCUCGAGCGCGCCGCCGCCGGCAGCCCGCGCAGCCCCGGUCCGCUUCCGGGCGCCCGCGGCCUGCAUCUGCCAGAUCCCGGGCCGGGCCGGCAGCCCUCGCUGCGCCCCCACGUGCACAAGCAGACGGAGAAGACGACCCGCGUGCGGACCGUGCUCAACGAGAAGCAGCUGCACACGCUGCGGACGUGCUACGCGGCCAACCCGAGGCCGGACGCGCUCAUGAAGGAGCAGCUGGUGGAGAUGACGGGCCUGAGCCCGCGGGUCAUCCGAGUCUGGUUCCAGAACAAGCGAUGCAAGGACAAGAAGAAGUCCAUUCUCAUGAAGCAGCUUCAGCAGCAGCACAGCGACAAGGCGAGCCUCCAGGGACUGACCGGCACGCCCCUGGUGGCGGGCAGCCCCAUCCGUCACGAGAGCGCCGUGCAGGGCAGCGCAGUCGAGGUGCAGACCUACCAGCCGCCGUGGAAAGCGCUCAGCGAGUUCGCUCUCCAGAGUGACCUGGACCAACCCGCCUUCCAGCAGCUGGUGUCCUUCUCCGAGUCUGGCUCCCUAGGCAACUCCUCGGGCAGCGACGCGACCUCCCUGUCCUCGCAGCUCCCGGACACCCCCAGCAGCAUGGUGCCGAGUCCCGUGGAGACGUGAGGGGGACCCCCCGCCCCCAGCCCGCGGACCUCGCAUGCUCCCUGCAUGAGACUCACCCAGGCCCGAGCCAUUCAGCGCCGGAAACUCUUCUCGUCUUUGUAAUUGUUAUUUAACGAGGAAGGACCAAGAGAAGCGGCCAGCACAGCCCAAAGCGCCGGGACGCGACCUGCCUCCACCAGACCGGAGGGCCGUGCUCCGAGGACUGUUAUUUUUUCAAAACCAGAAUCUGGGAUCUACUAGCGUUAGGUGUGCGCUCCCAUCCCCCUCGCUCGCUGGGGCCGCUGCCCCUCCGCCCGCGCCUGCCCGGCCCCGCGCUCCCAGGCCGCUCUGCCAGGGCGCCGGCGGGGGAGAGCGCGGGGCAACCCGAAGGAACAGACACUCACCCCCCAAAGCGCAUGAUUGCCGAAAAAAAAUUGAGAUGAGACUUUUCUUGAAAAUGUUGUAAGUUAUCGGUCGACGGAGGACAGAGGGUGUGAACCUUUGCCGAACAAAACAAUGCCCUCUGGCAAGCUUCUAAAUACCUGUGUCACUGGAACCCAAGUCCUGGGUCUGCCACAGACCAGAAGACAGAACCACACACAUGGGUCUGCCUGGCUCCGGAUAUGCGACCAGCUGCUGAGGCAGACACAGACACGGAUCCCUGGUUUUCAGGAGUCUCAGGCUAUGAACUCUGCAGGGACACGGCUAUGUCUCUUUCAUUCCCUGCUUACUCCCGGCAUCUGGCAUAGUGCCUAGCACGGUGAUGACAAAUAGUAAUUCCUCAAGAACUAUCUAGAGAAUGAAUGAAUGAGGGC